UAGAUGUUUUCGUAACUUUCAGUCAGAUUGAUAUAGAUUUAGCAAUACAGGACAUCCAAACAGCAUUAUCUUCCAGUAUUUUCAAGCAAAUUCUGAUUCAUUCAAUCACUAGGCCCCUACAUUAGACCUGGGUUCAUCGUCGUAUCAGUCCACAAGCAACGUUUCAAAAUACAGUAGGUAAUAUUUUUGAUCUUCUUCCACAAUAAUGAACAGUGAUACGACAGUACCUGAAGUGCGCUGGAAAAGGAAAUAAUCAAUAAAGCAAGAGCUAGGAAAAAAGUGAUAAAUACAGUGUACUAUAUUUAUGAGGGUGGUGGGAGGCACUGCACAUAACACCUCUGCUAAAGCACUAUUCUACAACAAGUGACGUCACUUCUCACGCUGGCGGGAGCAGUACGCAGUAGAUAGGCUCGGCUCGCUGCGAUGGCUGGCUGGCUCUGUGGCUGUUGGCUGUGGGGAAGGGCGAGCUGCCAGAGCAGAGCAGAGCAGGAUGCGAGUAUUACCACGGGCGAGUCCAUUUGCGCGCCGCGUGGAGGGGAGGCCGACUGCCAGUGCUGUGGGAGGGGCGCCUCCUCUACCACUGUUCCCCCCCUCUACUCUACUCACCACAACAACCACCGAAUUUCAUAUUUUUCAUCAGUUCACUUGCAUUUCUAAAUUGAUUCCUGGCAGAACUAAGGCACUUUCAACAUUUUAGUUGAGCUUCCAGUCAUAGUUGCAUAGAGAGGAUAAACUGUAUCAAUACACAAUAACACAUAUUACACUACGCUACUUAAUUGGGCUCUAAUCCUCUAAAUCAACAAACAACAGUAUAAAAACACUUCAAACAACAUACAACCAGUGAGUAUGGAAUGUAAGUUUGUGAGUAUGAAAUGUAACAUUCUAUACUCACUGCAUACAACAGUAUAAAGUAUUAGAUCAGAAACAUAAUAAUUUCAUAUACUAAUUACGUAUAAUAACAGAUGAAUCUACUUUGUUGCUAGUUGAUUAGUACGUUAUUGACAUUUCAAUGGCGGCUUUUCGCACUUCCCAAACUACGUGUGACUUCUACAAUGAAUAGUAUGCAUCACAUUAAAUAAUUCUAUUGAUUGAAAACACUAAUCCAUUCUGCUAUCUGAUAUUUUCUGUUAUCAGUCUUAAUAGUAUUUAGUAUAUUAUUUUACAGUGUAAUGUUUUUGUACAGGAAACAUUUUUGGACUAUUAUGUAUGUUAUUUCCAAAGUUGUAUUGUUUUUUUUCGAAAUAAGUGAAUAAACAAUUGAAAAAAUCUAAAUAUCACGUUACAAAUGAAAAAUAAAACUCUAAAAUUAACUAAGAAAAUAAUCAUUCACAAACCCCUGUGUGAUAAAAGUUUGCUGCUAGAUGAGCUAAUUGAAUCAUUAUCGAAUGGCAGUUGUUGGCAUUCAUUCAUUGAGGAUUAUAACGAAAACAUACCUACAUUCUUCUGAUAUAGAUAAGCACCUAAUGUGUGAAAUUAUGCACUUAUAAAUUAUUGAAUUAAUUAUAUUAUUUAAUUGAUAUAAUUGCGAAUAAUAUAGAAUGUGUUCUUUCUUCUUUGUAAA
This 1561-nucleotide long non-coding RNA is filed under the name Nilaparvata lugens (brown planthopper). RNAcentral describes it as "uncharacterized LOC120353639". The record is from RNAcentral. Lineage: Eukaryota; Metazoa; Arthropoda; Insecta; Hemiptera; Delphacidae.